AUUGAACGCUGGCGGCAGGCCUAACACAUGCAAGUCGAGCGGUAGCACAGAGAGCUUGCUCUCGGGUGACGAGCGGCGGACGGGUGAGUAAUGUCUGGGAAACUGCCUGAUGGAGGGGGAUAACUACUGGAAACGGUAGCUAAUACCGCAUAACGUCGCAAGACCAAAGAGGGGGACCUUCGGGCCUCUUGCCAUCAGAUGUGCCCAGAUGGGAUUAGCUAGUAGGUGGGGUAACGGCUCACCUAGGCGACGAUCCCUAGCUGGUCUGAGAGGAUGACCAGCCACACUGGAACUGAGACACGGUCCGGACUCCUACGGGAGGCAGCAGUGGGGAAUAUUGCACAAUGGGCGCAAGCCUGAUGCAGCCAUGCCGCGUGUAUGAAGAAGGCCUUCGGGUUGUAAAGUACUUUCAGCGGGGAGGAAGGUGUUGAGGUUAAUAACCUCAGCAAUUGACGUUACCCGCAGAAGAAGCACCGGCUAACUCCGUGCCAGCAGCCGCCGUAA
This 504-nucleotide ribosomal RNA is filed under the name uncultured bacterium. Its description in RNAcentral is "partial 16S ribosomal RNA". It matches the Rfam family "Bacterial small subunit ribosomal RNA", at positions 30 to 523 of the family's 1533-position model. The record is from RNAcentral.